This 18-nucleotide small nuclear RNA is filed under the name Arabidopsis thaliana (thale cress). RNAcentral describes it as "snRNA_00210". The record is from RNAcentral. Lineage: Eukaryota; Viridiplantae; Streptophyta; Magnoliopsida; Brassicales; Brassicaceae.
AACUGUCGCGUCGCAGAC